This is a long non-coding RNA of Eriocheir sinensis (Chinese mitten crab), 1887 nucleotides long. RefSeq lists it as uncharacterized. The record is from RefSeq and is a predicted model, not a curated record. Lineage: Eukaryota; Metazoa; Arthropoda; Malacostraca; Decapoda; Varunidae. The transcript is spliced from 3 exons.
CACAUAGUAUAGACGAAGUAAAGUCAUGCAGGAUUGGUAUUAGCAGAGUAUAGAUGGUGUAAAGUUAUGUUGAUUUGAUGUUCACAUAGUAUAGACGAAGUAAAGUUAUGCUGGUUCAGAAAGCAAAUAAUAUAGAGGAUGUAAAGUCAUGCUGGUUUGGUAUUCGCAUGGUAUAGAGGUUCAGAACGCACAUAGUAUAGACGGUGUAAAGCAAUGCAGGUUCUGGACUACAAUAGACGAUGUAAACAGAGUCACGCAGGUUUAGUAAAUGCAUAAGCAGUUACGUUGCAGCCCAAACAGUUUACUUAAGCACACGCAGACACCGACUUGUAACACCUACACCGCCUUAUAAGUUAGCUCCGGGCAGCAAGUUGUGAGCAAGGGAGAUAAUUAAAACGUCAGCCGUGAAGAAUAGGUCAGCGUAACGGUGAGUCAUUCCUGCAUAAACAGUUCCUUCGCAGCACACACAAACACACUACCACAGACAUUUUCUUGUUUUAAUACUUUUUUAAUUAGGAACAUUAUUUAAUACCUUUUUUUAAGCGGGUAUGGCGACUUAAGAUGUAUGGUUAAAAUAAACGGCAUUCGAAAUAUUAACACCUCCCGAAAUUGACCCCUCUUUCGGCCACCUCUUUGGAUUCUUUUUAGGAGCAGCGAGUAGCGGGCUUUUUUUAUUAUUAUUUCCUUGUUUUGUGCCCUUGAGCUGUCUCCUUAGUUGUAAAAAAAAAUUGUUCGUAAAAUUAAUAACGUACUACCAAAUGAUAAAAAGCGCGCAAGCAUUCACUUUUUUUUCCUCUCCUCAUCAAGAAAGUCAUUACACGCGUAUUUUCUAAUGAGUUCAGAGGUGGUAUGAUGGUGUAGUACUGGUGUGACAUCGGUAGUGGUGGUGGUGGUAGAGAUAACCACUCAAAUGACCACCAUCACCACCACUAACACCAAUAACACAAGUAGCAUUCAACACCUCACCACAACAAACUCAUCCUUACAACCAAUAACGUGACAACUGAUAGAAACACUCAAUCAUUCAUUCUUCCUACGUUUCCUUAGCAAAUACAAACGCUACACACGUUUUUCUACUGAGUUUAAGUUUGGUUUAUAAGACACUUUCGCUUCUCAUAUCAGCUGUUUCUAAAGGUCAAAGAGGGGGUCAGUCGGGUUCUAAUGAGUGUUUCUUCAGGUUCAGGUUACAGCAGAAGGGUCAAACUACCACCAGGGUUAUAAAACUACUCCUGGAAAUGCCCACAACCCCUACGAAAGCUUCUAAUGUAAUCCUACGAAAGCCUUGUCAAAUAUGCGUUCUUGGGUCACGAAAUGUCUUAAAAUACAUCCCUAAGAGACGAGACACUUAACACUUGUACCCACUUUUCAUCCCAUCACACAGGAAGUUAGGAAAAAAUUAAAUUCCGUCACAGCAAGUUCAGAAAGGGUUAAAUCCCGUCACAGCAAGUUCGGAAAAGGUUAAAUCCCGUCACAACAAGUUCAGAAAAGGUUAAAUUCCAUCCCAGCAAGUUCAGAAAAGGUUAAAUCCCAUCACAGGAAGUUCAGAAAAGGUUAAAUUCCAUCCCAGCAAGUUCAGAAAAGGUUAAAUCCCGUCACAGCAAGUUCAGAAAAGGUUAAAUCCCAUCACAGCAAGUUCAGAAAAGGUUAAAUCCCGUCACAGCAAGUUCAGAAAAGGUUAAAUCCCGUCACAGCAAGUUCAGAAAAGGUUAAAUCCCGUCACAGCAAGUUCAGAAAAGGUUAAAUCCCGUCACAGCAAGUUCGGAAAAGGUUAAAUCCCAUCCCAGCAAGUUCUGAAAAGGUUAAAUCCCAUCCCAGCAAGUUCAGAAAAGGUUAAAUCCCAUCCCAGCAAGUUCAGAAAAGGUUAAAUCCCAUCCCAGCAAGUUCAGA